UUUGGCAGUCAUAUCACCCUAUAGCCCAUAGACUGGUUGCCCACUGAAGCUAAGCAGGGUUCAGUACCUGGAUGGAAGACCUCCUGGCAAAACUAGGUUGCUGCUGGAA
RNAcentral lists this ribosomal RNA (109 nucleotides) under Sinocyclocheilus rhinocerous. Lineage: Eukaryota; Metazoa; Chordata; Actinopteri; Cypriniformes; Cyprinidae. The record is from RNAcentral.